UACGAAGGGGGCUAGCGUUGCUCGGAAUUACUGGGCGUAAAGGGAGCGUAGGCGGACAUUUAAGUCAGGGGUGAAAUCCCGAGGCUCAACCUCGGAACUGCCUUUGAUACUGGGUGUCUUGAGUGUGAGAGAGGUGAGUGGAACUCCGAGUGUAGAGGUGAAAUUCGUAGAUAUUCGGAAGAACACCAGUGGCGAAGGCGACUCACUGGCUCAUUACUGACGCUGAGGCUCGAAAGCGUGGGGAGCAAACAGG
This 253-nucleotide ribosomal RNA is filed under the name uncultured bacterium. Its description in RNAcentral is "partial 16S ribosomal RNA". It matches the Rfam family "Bacterial small subunit ribosomal RNA", at positions 524 to 776 of the family's 1533-position model. RNAcentral also lists the same sequence under 1 other name. The record is from RNAcentral.